This 344-nucleotide unclassified non-coding RNA is filed under the name Hevea brasiliensis (rubber tree). The record is from RNAcentral. Lineage: Eukaryota; Viridiplantae; Streptophyta; Magnoliopsida; Malpighiales; Euphorbiaceae.
CUUCGAACCCUCAUUCGUGCGCCGGGCACGAUCCAGCUCGACGAGCGCCGCAUCUCCGUCAUUUCGAUGCGAGCCGAAAGCUGGGUACAGAAAGUCGCGAACGUCACCACCGGCAGCAAAGUCAGUAAAGGCCAGCCGUUGAUGGAAAUUUACAGUCCAUCCGUGGCAUCGGCGGCCGCCGAAUACAUAGCCACCAUCACGUCGAAGGGGACGAGCGGCGUCGCCGUGUAUGGUCGCGGCUCGCGGCAGCGGCUGAUGAACCUCGACGUCCCCGACACAGCUAUUGCCGCCAUGGAGAAGAGUGGCACUGUUCCGAUCACCAUCGACUGGUCGGCACCGCGCGA